AAAAAAGCAUCGACAAAGGACCAGUAAAUAAAUAAUGGUGCAAGAGAGUGGAGCCCGUUGGCUGAAAAGCUCCAUCACCCGCUUAUUUAUUGAACCUGCCUUUCGAGCUUUUAGGCAAACCUAAACGUUUCCCCCGGCGUUAACGGGAAUCGAGUGUGCAGGCAUUAGUCUGCAAACAAAGGUGGUACCACGGAAGCAACACCCUUUCGUCCUUUAC
RNAcentral lists this non-coding RNA (217 nucleotides) under Bacillaceae bacterium. RNAcentral describes it as "T-box sequence". It matches the Rfam family "T-box leader". Rfam says of the family: Uncharged tRNA acts as the effector for transcription antitermination of genes in the T-box leader family. The record is from RNAcentral. Lineage: Bacteria; Bacillati; Bacillota; Bacilli; Caryophanales; Bacillaceae.